This is a non-coding RNA of Pelobates cultripes (western spadefoot toad), 213 nucleotides long. NCBI's taxonomy places the organism in Eukaryota, Metazoa, Chordata, Amphibia, Anura, Pelobatidae. The record is from the annotation of a GenBank genome assembly.
CAGAUGGCCAGAACCUGGUGAAGAAGACAGUCUGGUAAGUAGGGAUUGUAGAAAGACUCAAGAGGAUAUUCAGACUGGCAGAUAUGUCACAUCACAGUAAUGUAAUGUCAAUGGUUGUGCAAUUGUUUUCUGUACAAACAAUGAGUGGGAAAAAAAUGCAACUAGCAUAGGAAAAGGCUUGUCAAUGCAGUCUGAACAGAUACUGGCUCCACG